Molecule: ribosomal RNA, 390 nt
Filed under: Timon lepidus (ocellated lizard)
Lineage: Eukaryota; Metazoa; Chordata; Lepidosauria; Squamata; Lacertidae
Description: partial 12S RIBOSOMAL RNA
Rfam family: Bacterial small subunit ribosomal RNA
Source: RNAcentral
GCUAAGCCCUAAACAUUGAUUAGUUAUAUACAACACUCUCCGCCAGAGAACUACAAGUGAAAAACUUGAAACUCAAAGGACUUGACGGUAUCCCAUAUCGACCUAGAGGAGCCUGUCCUAUAAUCGAUACCCCUCGCUUCACCCCACCCUAACUAGCACACAUUAUCAGCCUAUAUACCGCCGUCGAUCAGCUACCCUAUGAAGGUCUAAUAGUAGACACAAUAGCCCAACCGUAAUACGUCAGGUCAAGGUGUAGCAAAUGUUAGGGAAGAGAUUGGCUACAUUUUUUAUGAUAAAAAACACGAAAGUAUUAUGAAACAAUACAUGAAGGUGAAUUUAGUAGUAAAAUAGAUAAGAGAGUCUAUUUUAACAACGCUCUGGGAUGCGUAC